UACGUAGGGGGCAAGCGUUGUCCGGAUUUAUUGGGCGUAAGGAGCGUGUAGGCGGUUCGGUAGGUCCGUUGUGAAAACUCGAGGCUCAACCUCGAGACGCCGAUGGAAACCAUCUGACUAGAGUCCGGAAGAGGAGAGUGGAAUUCCUGGUGUAGCGGUGAAAUGCGCAGAUAUCAGGAAGAACACCCGUGGCUAAGGCGGCUCUCUAGUACGUGACUGACGCUGAGACGCGAAAGCGUGGGGAGCGAACAGG
RNAcentral lists this ribosomal RNA (253 nucleotides) under uncultured bacterium. RNAcentral's name for it is "partial 16S ribosomal RNA". It matches the Rfam family "Bacterial small subunit ribosomal RNA", at positions 524 to 776 of the family's 1533-position model. The record is from RNAcentral.